RNAcentral lists this long non-coding RNA (3432 nucleotides) under Homo sapiens (human). RNAcentral's name for it is "HSALNT0356088". Lineage: Eukaryota; Metazoa; Chordata; Mammalia; Primates; Hominidae. The record is from RNAcentral.
CCCAAACAGGAAAUUGAGCAACACGUUCAGGAAAGACAGAGCAUGGCUGCUGGGCAGCCAGGUCAACCGGACGGCAAGGCAGGGGUUGGCCGGGGAAGCACUGCGCCGCCCCUGCAUGCCCUGCAUCCUCGGGUCCUGGGAGGGCUGCUCAGUAACUGGAAGGAAAAUGAAACUGAAAAAGAGCAAGGGUCCCGUAGGAUUGAACACAGUUGGUGAAACUUGGGCCGUCUGCCUCAAGUCCCCGCUUGGCAAAACCACUCCCUCCUGGUGGACGCCCUCACCAUGAAGUUUCAGGCACUGUGACUGACUUCCUGCCGCAGAGGCUAAGAUUCGGCUCGUUCACUCCACAUGUGCACACAGCUCCUACCUGCAGAACACGCCCACCCUUAUGAAGGCCAUGAAAGCAGUGACAGUGCUGUAGGAAAGAGUAAGCUGGAAAAAGAGAAGGUUCAGAACGACAGUGCUGACGCAGACAUCACACAGCGGUAUGCCAGUGCUAUGGUGCCUGUUUAAUUGAAAUCUUGUAAUAAAAGUUUAAAUACAUAAAUUUUUUUUUUUUUUUUUAUCAAAAGAACAUCCCCCACUUCCCUGACCAGAUACAUCCAGAGGGGAGGCAAGUGGAGACUGGCUGUCUGUAGGGAGUGGAGAAAUGGCAGGUCCAGCUUGGGCUGGUGUCCUCUUCCUCAGAAAGUGCUGUGGGUGAACCCAGAGUCUCAGGGAGCAGAAGCCCCCCUCGCUGGCUUUCUUCACGCGGGGUCCUCGGCAAGCUGCUCUGCACUGCGGAGAACGUGCGCCUUGUCCUCAGAAGACGAGGAAGAGCAGGGCCUCAUGCCGGGGCAGUACGAUGUUCUCCACAGUGCGCUCCAUGGCGCGCACCUGCUCCGGGGAGGCUGUCAGGAACGCCAGGGGCCCGAUGCGCUGCUCCGCACAGGAGUGGCAGAGGUAGCCCCCCUUGUUUUCCUUCCUGUUGCUCUGUGGUGAUGGACAAGAGAGAGAGCUAAGGGGAACAACCAAAGAACAUGGAUUUUCCAGCAAAAAGCAUGGAGUUAUCAUCACAGCUGCCCAGGGACAACGCAUUUGGAUUCUGAUGUUUUCAGAGGGGUGCACAUCCUCAGAGUAACACCUCCCACAGCACCACCAACUAGGUGGCCUCAACACCCCCAAAUUCCCUGAGCUCAGAAACAGUCAUUUAUCCAGUCAAGAUAAAGAACCAAGAAAAGCUGCGCUGGGACCCCAGGGAACAGCUCUCUCUCUAAGCGUGUAUCACAACCCAGCCUCCCAGACCUGCGGCUUCAGCACAGCCAGGCAGCAUCACGUGCCCUGACCUCUGACCCUGGGACAGACCACACACCUCUUGUGCCUCUCAUAUGAAAAGCCCCUAAUAAAGGAUCACACAGCUCUCUCUUAUCUCCUCACCUACAACCCAGAUAAGCACAGAGCUCACAAGCAAAAAAUGCAAAUGGCUGAAUUAAGUUCCACAGACAGCAGACGUACAUAGGUGAUGGGCAGCUUCUUCAUGGUAAGGACGGUGUCAACAGGGAUGGCAUUGUUGCACUGUCCCACGCAGCAGCGCACCACGCCUGUUUUUAAGACGUUGCUUGUCAGCUCUGCUUGCAAGAAGUACUCCUGAGAAAGAAAGAGCGAGAAAGAGAGUCAUGGCGACACCUCCGUUAGGGUCUACUGGAAACACUGAUAGCGGCGGCUCUGUGAGAACCCUUUAGAUGCACUAUGGCACGGUGCCUGCUUCAGGUGGCUGCUGAGGAGAAGAAACCCUUCAAUGCAUGCAAAGCACUCACGCCUGGCACGCAGGGAGCACCCAGAGGAAGCACUAGUGACCUCCCAGGCUGGAAACACCACAAGGACAGGGCACUGUCAGCUUCGCUGCUGCCCUGUGGGGCUCCACAUCACAGACUGAUAUGCUAGCAGGACCGCACACAUCUGCUGCCCAGGAAAGGACGGUUUCGUAUUUUCUGGAUUAUGACCAGCUAUUGAUCUACUUAUUCUACAAUCUGUAACCUACGUUUUGAUUUAUUUGGUCUUUUCUCUUAGACGGCCUGCCUACCAGCUAUGAAAAAGAACAGAAAACCACCAGGCAAACACUCCAGUUAUGGCCAACAAGUACUAACAGCUGACGAGGUGAAAUCCUGUCUGAAGUCACAGAUUUUGCUGAAGUCCCUUGGACUGUCAUCUCAAUUUCCUUCCCGAGAGACAGCCAAGACCAUGAACCUGGCGAGGUCCCUCCAACCCACGGUGAAAUAGCUUCUCGUUUACACGUGUCCAAGGACACAGGUCUCCUUUUAUAGAUGUCUAAUUUACAUGAAUGUUACGCUUCUGGCUUCCUCCUCACCUAGGUUUUCUAAAAUGCUGUAGAGGACUCAGUCACAGCGCUCUCUUGUAUUUCAUUUACCCAUUCCCUUGCUGUGGUUACUCGGUUGUUUCCAAACUAUUUCCAACAAUGCAGCAAUGAACAUCCUGUACCUGACUCCCUGUCCACUCCAGAAGUUUCUCCAGGGCUAGGCUCUCAAGCCGUUUUUGACGCAGUUACCAUUAUAAUGCUAUACAUACGCACAUAUGUAAGAAACACACAUGGAAGAAAAGUUUCACAAAACAUGACUUAACCUAACAUGCAGUGUUCUCUGAUUUCUUUAGAUUUUAUGCCAUUUAACUCUUUUUAAGCCUCUCAUAACCCACCAGAUUAACUGUUUUUAUUUAUAUAAAUUUAAGGGGUGGGGGUCACACCUGUAGUCCCAGCACUUUGGGAGACUGAAGUGGGAGGAUCACUUGAGCCCAGGAGUUCGAGACCAGCCUGGGCAACAUGGCGAAACCCUGUCUCUACCAAAAAUACAAAAAUUAGCUAGGCAUAGUGGUGCACACCUGUAGUCUCAGCUACUCGGGAGGCUGAGGUUGCAGUGAGUUGAGAUCGUGCCACUGCACUCCAGCCUGGGCAACAAAGCAAGACCCUGUAUCUAAACAAAUAAACAAAAAGAAUCUAAGAUUCUGUGAGACCAAGAAGCUGUCUUUGGCCAGACAUAGUGGCUCAAGCCUGUAAUCUCAGCAAUUUGGGAGGCCAAGGCAAACGGAUCACUUGAGGUCAGGAGUUUGAGACCAGCCCAGUCAAUAUGGGUGAAACCCCAUCUCUACUAAAAAUACAAAAAUUAGCCAGGCAUGGUAGCACACGCCUGUAAUCCCAGCUACUCUGAGGCUGAGGCCUGAGAAUCGCUUGAGCCCGGGAGGUGGAGGUUGCGGUGAGCCGAGCAAGAUGGCACCACUGCACUCCAGCCUGGGCUACAGAGAGAGACUCCAUCUCAAAAAAAAAAAAAAACAAAAAAAAAAACCUGUCUUUGAAACAUAACUUCAUGUCACUUAACACCUCAACAAUGUAAUAAUUUCCUUCACUUUCCCAAAACUUAAAGAAACAAAUGAACAAAAUGG